This 253-nucleotide ribosomal RNA is filed under the name uncultured bacterium. RNAcentral describes it as "partial 16S ribosomal RNA". It matches the Rfam family "Bacterial small subunit ribosomal RNA", at positions 524 to 776 of the family's 1533-position model. The record is from RNAcentral.
UACGUAGGGCGCAAGCGUUGUCCGGAAUUAUUGGGCGUAAAGAGCUCGUAGGCGGCUUGUCACGUCGGUUGUGAAAGCCCGGGGCUUAACCCCGGGUCUGCAGUCGAUACGGGCUAGCUAGAGUGUGGUAGGGGAGAUCGGAAUUCCUGGUGUAGCGGUGAAAUGCGCAGAUAUCAGGAGGAACACCGGUGGCGAAGGCGGCACUCUGGGCCGAUACUGACGCUGAGGAGCGAAAGCGUGGGGAGCGAACAGG